CAAUUGAGUGAACAACAUUAACUUCUUCCAUUGUGAUAUUUAUGUAUCUUUUACCUGUCAGGUCGAAAAAUCCCAGCGAUGAAUGGCAGCCAUAUGGCAACAUAUAGAGCUAAGCCAAGUCUCUGGAACAGAGCUGGAAAAGAGAGACAACACCAGCAAAGACUUCUUGAACUUAACUUGUUAAGCUCUUCAGGUACAUUAUAUUUUUCUAUUUAACUGCAAUGACCAAUUGAACAACGCAAAACAAAUAUUUCCUUUCUAAGAAGCCUUAAUCAUCAUCGAUUCUGCAAAAAAGCCAAAGUGAAAUGCUAACUUUAGACAAAUUAACAAUGUUUGGCAUAUAUAAACUAUAGUAUUGUGUAUAUAUUUUUAUAGUGGGAAAUAAGCUGUGAUUUCAACCUAGUAGGGACCUUAUGACAGGCUUUUUUUCUUUUUAAUGGUGAGAAUGUGGUAUGACAGAGCACAACAAAGUCAGAGUGGGAAUUUUUUUUCAAAAAAAAUAUCAAGUAUAUUUGACAAUAUAUAUGUAUAAGUUUAGUCUUUA
This is a long non-coding RNA of Solanum pennellii, 544 nucleotides long. RefSeq lists it as uncharacterized. NCBI's taxonomy places the organism in Eukaryota, Viridiplantae, Streptophyta, Magnoliopsida, Solanales, Solanaceae. The transcript has 2 exons. The record is from RefSeq and is a predicted model, not a curated record.